UAAGCUUCGGAAACGGGGUCUAAUACCUGAUACGACAACUCCAUGCAUGUGGUGGUUGUGGAAAGUUUUUUCGGUGGAGGAUGUGCUCGCGGCCUAUCAGCUUGUUGGUGGGGUAAUGGCCUACCAAGGCUUCGACGGGUAGCCGGCCUGAGAGGGUGACCGGCCACACUGGGACUGAGACACGGCCCAGACUCCUACGGGAGGCAGCAGUGGGGAAUAUUGGACAAUGGGCGGAAGCCUGAUCCAGCAACGCCGCGUGAGGGAUGACGGCCUUCGGGUUGUAAACCUCUUUCAGUACCGACGAAGCGCCCGUUGUGGGUGGUGACGGUAGGUACAGAAGAAGCACCGGCCAACUACGUGCCAGCAGCCGCGGUAAUACGUAGGGUGCGAGCGUUGUCCGGAAUUAUUGGGCGUAAAGGGCUCGUAGGCGGUUUGUCGCGUCGGGAGUGAAAACACCGGGCUUAACUCGGUGCUUGCUUUCGAUACGGGC
RNAcentral lists this ribosomal RNA (490 nucleotides) under Nocardioides sp. x8A1. Its description in RNAcentral is "bacterial SSU rRNA". It matches the Rfam family "Bacterial small subunit ribosomal RNA", at positions 144 to 637 of the family's 1533-position model. The record is from RNAcentral. Lineage: Bacteria; Bacillati; Actinomycetota; Actinomycetes; Propionibacteriales; Nocardioidaceae.